This 484-nucleotide ribosomal RNA is filed under the name uncultured bacterium. RNAcentral's name for it is "partial 16S ribosomal RNA". It matches the Rfam family "Bacterial small subunit ribosomal RNA", at positions 29 to 523 of the family's 1533-position model. The record is from RNAcentral.
AGUGAACGCUGGCGGCGUGCUUAACACAUGCAAGUCGAACGAGAACGGGUUAUAGCUUGCUAUAAUUGUCAGCUAAGUGGCGCACGGGUGAGUAAUGUAUAGGUAAUAUGCCUCUUACUAAGGGAUAACAAAUGGAAACGUUUGCUAAUACCUUAUACUCCUUAUUAACAGAAGUUAAUAAGGGAAAGACUUAUUGGUAAGAGAUUAGCCUGUAUUGUAUCAGUUAGUUGGUGGGGUAAUGGCUUACCAAGACUAUGACACAUAACUGGUUUGAGAGGAUGAUCAGUCACACUGGAACUGAGACACGGUCCAGACUCCUACGGGAGACAGCAGUGGGGAAUAUUGCACAAUGGACGAAAGUCUGAUGCAGCAACGCCGCGUGGAGGAUGACACAUUUCGGUGCGUAAACUCCUUUUAUAUGAGAAGAUAAUGACGGUAUUAUAUGAAUAAGCACCGGCUAACUCCGUGCCAGCAGCCGCAGUAA